RNAcentral lists this ribosomal RNA (486 nucleotides) under uncultured bacterium. RNAcentral describes it as "bacterial SSU rRNA". It matches the Rfam family "Bacterial small subunit ribosomal RNA", at positions 39 to 518 of the family's 1533-position model. The record is from RNAcentral.
GCGACAGGCCUAACACAUGCAAGUCGAGGGGCGAGCACAAGGAGCAAUCUGAGGUGGCGACCGGCGCACGGGUGAGUAACACGUAUGCAACCUGCCUGUAAGCGGGGAAUAACCCGUUGAAAGACGGACUAAUACCGCAUAAUACUAAAUUACUGCAUGGUAAUUUAUUUAAACAUUUAUGGCUUACAGAUGGGCAUGCGCAUGAUUAGCUAGUUGGAGAGGUAACGGCUCCCCAAGGCAACGAUCAUUAGGGGUUCUGAGAGGAAGGUCCCCCCACACUGGUACUGAGACACGGACCAGACUCCUACGGGAGGCAGCAGUGAGGAAUAUUGGUCAAUGGACGAGAGUCUGAACCAGCCAAGUCGCGUGCAGGAAGAAUGUCCUAUGGAUUGUAAACUGCUUUUGCAGGGGAAUAAAGUGCAUCACGUGUGAUGUUUUGUAUGUACUCUGCGAAUAAGGAUCGGCUAACUCCGUGCCAGCCGCCGC